CCUGCAGGAGGUUACUGCUAUUAGGAUGCGACUUAGACAUGCAAGUCAAGGAUUCUUCGGAGUCCUGGCACACGGCUCAGUAACACGUCGAUAAUCUGCCUUAUGGUCUUGGAUAACCUUGAGAAAUUGAGGAUAAACCAAGAUAAGAAAAAACUACUGGAAUGUGUUUUUUCUGAAAAGCAAUGCCAUAAGAUGAGUCGGCGACUGAUUAGGUAGUUGGCGAGGUAAAGGCUCACCAAGCCUGUGAUCAGUAGAGGGAAUGGAAGUUCUGGCCUCGAGAAGGACACUGAGAUAAGGGUCCUAGCCCUAAGGGGUGCAGCAGUCGCGAAACCUUUACAAUGCGCGCAAGCGUGAUAGGGGUAUCCUAAGUGCCUACCUUCUGGGUAGGCUUUUGUUGAGUGUAAAUAGCUCGAAGAAUAAGUGGUGGGUAAGACUGGUGCCAGCAGCCGCGGUAACCCCAGCGCCACUAGUGGUGACCACGAUUAUUGGGCCUAAAGCGUCCGUAGCUGGCUUAAAAACUUCUUUGUGAAAUUGUUGGACUUAAUCUAACAACGUGCAGAGAAAACUUUUAGGCUUGAGACCGGGAAGAGAUAGAAGUAUUCCUUGGGGAGCGGUAAAAUGUUAUAAUCCUUGGAGGACUACCAAUAGCGAAGGCAUCUAUCUAGAACGGGUCUGACAGUGAGGGACGAAAGCUAGGGGAGCAACAUGGAUUAGAUACCCAAUUAGUCCUAGCUGUAAACGCUGCGAACUAGGUGUUGCAUAUUCUUUGGGAAUAUGCAGUGCCGGAGCGAAGGUGUUAAGUUCGCUGCCUGGGAAGUACGGCCGCAAGACUGAAACUUAAAGGAAUUGGCGGGGGCGCACUACAAGGGGUGAAGUGUGCGGUUUAAUCUAACUCUACUCAGAAAAUCUUACCAUGGGCGAUGGCAUGAUGAAGGUCAGAUUAAAGGUCUUACCUGAAGGGCCCAGAGAUGCUGCAUGGCCGUCGUCAGCUCGUGCCGCGAGGUGUCACGUUAAGUCGUGCAACGAGCAAGACCUACAUUCAUAGUUGCUACCGAGUCUUUUGAUGUUCGAGCACACUAUGAAGACUGCCUUGGUAACAAGGAGGAAGGUGUAGGCAACGAUAGGUCUGUAUGGCUCGAAUCUCAUGGGAUACACACGCACUGCAAUGAUAAGGACAAUAGGAUACAACUCCGUAAGGAGAAGUUAAUCCCUCAAACCUUAUCCUAGUACAGAUUGAGGGUUGUAACUCACCCUCAUGAAGCCGGAAUCCCUAGUAAUCGGGUAUCAUCAAUGCCCGGUGAAUACGUCAAUGUGCCUUGCACACACUGCCCAUCAAGUCAACCGAGCAGAGUUUUGGUGAGGUUUAGUUUUUGACUAAAUCGAAUCAGAGCUCAGUAAGGUGGGUUAAGUUGUCACAAGGUA
This 1422-nucleotide ribosomal RNA is filed under the name metagenome. RNAcentral's name for it is "bacterial SSU rRNA". It matches the Rfam family "Archaeal small subunit ribosomal RNA". The record is from RNAcentral.